Taeniopygia guttata (zebra finch) is the source of this 479-nucleotide non-coding RNA. Lineage: Eukaryota; Metazoa; Chordata; Aves; Passeriformes; Estrildidae. The record is from RefSeq and is a predicted model, not a curated record.
AGAGAAUUCUAAAUAAGCUUUCUUUUUUUAUAACAGAUCCUAAAGGUGAUGAAGAUGCCUUACUAUUUUAAAGCCGUGGCAUCAUGUCUCAAGGAAGAAAAUGUAUAUGUAAUUGCUGCUUCAGAAAUCUUCUAGUUAACCACUAGUUCUGACAGGCGUAUGUGCAGAUUCCUGGAAGGAGUGACAGAGAACAUGGGCCACCUCUGGUGUUGAAGUUUACAACUUGUGAAUCUCUGUCUUCUUUCCUCUCAUGGAGGAAUCAGGUGAUAGAAUGAUUUUAUUUUUAAGACAUGUUAUUUUUAACACACUUUAUAUCUCUGAAACUAAUAUAUCUGAGGAAUUGUGAAAAUAAAUGCUGAAGUACUUGAAGCAAAUCAGUUUUCUUGUGUAAGUUAAUUUUUAAGUUCCUUUGAAGCAUGUGCAAUUGGUGUAAAUGAGUAUUCCUAUAUAAUGAAGUAAUAAACACAGCUAGUAGAAAA